GGAGCGGCUGCGCAGGCGGGGGCGCGCGGCGCGGGCCCGGGAGGGCGCGGCGGGAGCGCUAGGAAGGCGGGCGGAGGCGGGGGGCGGGGAGCCGGAGGGGUGGAAGCCGGCGGCGGCGGCGGCGGCGGCGGCCGAGCGGGGUCAGUUCUCUGUAGUGCUUGCCAAUGUUGGAGCCGUCUGCAAAGUGUCCCUGGCAAGAAGUUUUUGGAGCCGUGAGGGAUACAGCAGUUUGGUCAAUAUUGUUUUAACAUGCUUCAAAUAAAUCAGGAUGAGUCACUUCCAAUAGCAGGGCAUAGGGGAAGGGAAGCCAGCAAAGAGACAUAGACACUGUGUCCAAGUCAUUUCUGGGACCAGGGAUGGAAACGGAUUCUUCUGUGGAGAGACUUGCCUUGGCAGGUGAGGUAGACCAAGACUUUAUUAGCAACAGCUCUGGCUGCAA
Molecule: long non-coding RNA, 439 nt
Filed under: Lynx canadensis (Canada lynx)
Lineage: Eukaryota; Metazoa; Chordata; Mammalia; Carnivora; Felidae
Description: lncRNA (ENSLCNG00005018116.1)
Source: RNAcentral